This 377-nucleotide long non-coding RNA is filed under the name Mytilus galloprovincialis (Mediterranean mussel). Lineage: Eukaryota; Metazoa; Mollusca; Bivalvia; Mytilida; Mytilidae. The record is from RNAcentral.
CGCCGUUGAAUAAUUUAUUGGAAGUUAAUAAAAGUAAUCAAAUCAUGUUUUUAACAAAUAAAAAAUGUCCUUUUUUACAUAUGUCUACUUCAAUUAGACAAAUCAUCGUAGGUCUGUCUGCAUGUACAUUUCUUCAUACAUGUAUAUUUCUUCGUCUGCUUUGAAAAUACAUUAUAUAUUCAACCGUUCCUUUCAUUUUGAUACAUAGAAACACCAAAUUACAGCUUAUCAACAGUGAAAAUGGUCUUCGCCAUAUUUGAACACGCCGGGUGGUCAGAUGAGACAUCUUUUUUCAAAUGAAUGAACUACCUGAGCGACUACAUAUUUAUAUCAAAUAAGCCUCCGCCAAAAAAAAUAGUACCACAAAAGAAAAUGCA